This 428-nucleotide ribosomal RNA is filed under the name uncultured bacterium. RNAcentral's name for it is "partial 16S ribosomal RNA". It matches the Rfam family "Bacterial small subunit ribosomal RNA", at positions 354 to 796 of the family's 1533-position model. The record is from RNAcentral.
GUGGGGAAUAUUGGGCAAUGGGGGCAACCCUGACCCAGCAACGCCGCGUGAGGGAAGAAGGUUUUCGGAUUGUAAACCUCUGUCCUAUGGGAAGAAGGAAGUGACGGUACCAUAGGAGGAAGCCCCGGCUAACUACGUGCCAGCAGCCGCGGUAAUACGUAGGGGGCGAGUGUUGUCCGGAAUUACUGGGCGUAAAGGGUGCGCAGGUGGCCUGACAAGUCAGAUGUGAAAUACCGAUGCUUAACGUCGGGGCUGCAUUUGAAACUAUGAGGCUGGAGUGCAGGAGAGGGAAGCGGAAUUCCUAGUGUAGCGGUGAAAUGCAUAGAUAUUAGGAGGAACACCAGUGGCGAAGGCGGCUUUCUGGACUGUAACUGACACUGAGGCACGAAAGCGUGGGGAGCAAACAGGAUUAGAAACCCCUGUAGUCC